This 253-nucleotide ribosomal RNA is filed under the name uncultured Lachnospiraceae bacterium. RNAcentral describes it as "partial 16S ribosomal RNA". It matches the Rfam family "Bacterial small subunit ribosomal RNA", at positions 524 to 776 of the family's 1533-position model. The record is from RNAcentral. Lineage: Bacteria; Bacillati; Bacillota; Clostridia; Lachnospirales; Lachnospiraceae.
UACGUAGGGGGCAAGCGUUAUCCGGAUUUACUGGGUGUAAAGGGAGCGUAGACGGACGGGCAAGUCUGAAGUGAAAGGCAGGGGCUCAACCCCUGGACUGCUUUGGAAACUGUCCAUCUAGAGUGCCGGAGAGGUAAGCGGAAUUCCUAGUGUAGCGGUGAAAUGCGUAGAUAUUAGGAGGAACACCAGUGGCGAAGGCGGCUUACUGGACGGUAACUGAAGUUGAGGCUCGAAAGCGUGGGGAGCAAACAGG